GGAGGGGUUCCUUAGUGGCCAAAGGGAUCAGACUGUAAAUCUGCCGGCUCCGCCUUCGAUGGUUCGAAUCCGUCCCCCUCCACCA
RNAcentral lists this transfer RNA (85 nucleotides) under Vibrio parahaemolyticus. RNAcentral's name for it is "tRNA-Tyr". It matches the Rfam family "tRNA". Rfam says of the family: Transfer RNA (tRNA) molecules are approximately 80 nucleotides in length. The record is from RNAcentral. Lineage: Bacteria; Pseudomonadati; Pseudomonadota; Gammaproteobacteria; Vibrionales; Vibrionaceae.